AACAACUUCCCUGUGUUCUUCAUCCGUGAUGGGAUGAAGUUCCCCGACAUGGUCCAUGCUCUCAAACCAAACCCAAAGUCUCACAUUCAGGAGAAUUGGAGGAUUCUUGACUUUUUCUCUCACCACCCAGAGAGCUUGCACAUGUUUUCUUUCCUCUUUGAUGAUGUUGGUGUUCCCCUGAACUACAGGCACAUGGAUGGUUCUGGUGUGCACACCUUUACUCUUCUCAACAGGGAAGGAAAAGCUACAUAUGUUAAGUUCCACUGGAGGCCAACAAGUGGUGUGAAGUGUUUGUUGGAGGACGAG
RNAcentral lists this long non-coding RNA (306 nucleotides) under Musa acuminata (dwarf banana). Its description in RNAcentral is "long non-coding RNA (MACU_LNC004457)". The record is from RNAcentral. Lineage: Eukaryota; Viridiplantae; Streptophyta; Magnoliopsida; Zingiberales; Musaceae.